UUCACUAUUUCUUUACACUCAUGUAUUGACCUGUAGGACAACCUAUUGCCAUCAUGUGGGUCCACGCCCAACAUAAUGCAUUUGGUGUCCUUGUGACCAUUGAACCACUCGUACCCUUUUCGGUCCCGUUCCGUUCGUACCCUUUCGGUCCCAACCCGUUUGUACCCUUUCGGUCACGAACCUUUCACAUCCGAUGGAUCAUGAUACGUUCGUACCUCUUGGAUCACGACACGUUUGUACCUCUUGGAUCACGACACGUUCGUACCUCUUGGAUCACGACAUGAUCCUUGGCAACACGCAACCUUGGAUCACGAUGCACCGUCAUUGGUACCCUUUGAUACUUGCAACCAUUGGUAUCUCGUAACUUUUGGUUACUUGCAUCCUUUGGUAUCUCACAACCUUUGGUAACUCAUGACCCUUGGCAACACGCAACCUUUG
Molecule: long non-coding RNA, 438 nt
Filed under: Brassica rapa (field mustard)
Lineage: Eukaryota; Viridiplantae; Streptophyta; Magnoliopsida; Brassicales; Brassicaceae
Description: long non-coding RNA (BRAP_LNC008085)
Source: RNAcentral